UCGCGUGUUGCAACGGAACCAGAUGAUUGGCUGUUCGAUCGACCCCGAUCAAGGCCGACUCGCCUCACUGUUGCAGUACAUUAAGACGUUUGCUAAUUGUUCAUGAUUAGCUGUGGCAAGAAUAUCUAUGGGGUUGUGUGCCGAAGAACCAGGGUUUAGAAAGCUUACUAAUCUUUUCUGUGCAAACUCAUCAAAUUCAGGAAUACUAAAAGAGUAUAAAGAUUGAAAGAGUGUGGAAUCCUCUGCGUAAAAAGGUGAAAGCCCUGUAAAUUUAUUUAUCUCAUUAGAAGAAUUUGGGUCGAGUACAUCGAAAAUCAAUUUUGAUGGAAGAUAGGGGGACCACCCUCUAAGCCUAAGUACUCCGUUCUAACCGAGAGUGGACUAGUACCGUGAGGGAAAGGAGAAAAGAACCCUAAAAAGGGAGUGAAAAGACACUGAAACCCAAAGCCGACAAACAGUUGAAGCUUUCUUCAUACAAACGUAUAAGAGAGUAACAGCGUACCUUUUGCAUAAUGGGUCAGCGAGUCAAGUUUUGUGGCGUAGCUUAAGCCGUAAAGGUGGAGGCGUAGGAAAACCGUAUACCUUGGAAACAAGGGAGUCCCAAGACUUGAACCCGAAACCGGGUGAUCUCGUCAUGAGCAGGUUGAAGGAUGGGUGAAACCUUCUGGAGGACCGAACCCACGUCUGUGGCAAUAGGCGGGGAUGACUUGUGACGAGGGGUGAAAAGCCAAACGAACCCGGAGAUAGCUGGUUUUCUGCGAAAUCUAUUGAGGUAGAGCGUUUAUAGAAAAGAUCUUUGGGGGUAGAGCACUCUCUGGGUGCGGGUUGCCCAAAGCGAUACCAAACUCAAGGAAACUCCGAAUACCAAAGAGAAUUAUUUAUUUAUAAAUAAAACCUAUAAGCAGACAGACUUUGGGCGCAAAGGUCCAAAGUCGAGAGGGAAAAAGCCCAGACCACACGCUAAGGUCCCUAAACAUAUACUGAGUGGGAAAAGAUGAUAUAAAGAGUAUAUUUUAAAAUACUUUUGAGAGCGAAGACAACCAGGAGGUGGGCUUGGAAGCAGCCAUCCUUUGAAGAAAGCGUAAGAGCUCACUGGUCGAGCUUACUAUCACUGAAAAUGUAUCGGGUCUCAAGUAUAUUACCGAAGCGGUGGGAAUAAAGAAUGAAUCUCAUUCUUUAUUCGGUAGCAGAACGUUCUGUAAUCGAAGAAGAUAUUUUGUCAGAAAUAUUGGAGAAAUCAGAAGUGAGAAUGCUGACAUGAGUAACGAAAAUCAUGUGAAAAUCAUGAUCGCCGAAAAGUGAAGGGUUUCUACAGAAGUUCAUCGAUGUAGAGUUAAUCGGUCCCUAAGAAACAAGCGAAGGCUGUAUUUAAUGGGAAACGAUUGUAUAUAGUAUCUAUGUGCAAUCUAUGUUCAUACGUGACGACAAAUAAAAGAUUUAUGUAAGUUAUUGGAUUCUUAUGUAAGGAGUUAUUUGUCCAGGAAAAAAGGUAUGAAACAAACACCGUACCCUAAACCGCCACAGGUCACUGAGUGUUUACCACUAAGGCGAUUGAGAGAACUACGUUGAAGGAACUCGGCAAAUUUCCUCCGUAACUUCGGGAAAAGGAGGACCUUUGAGCCUUAUAAGGUAUCAAAGGUGGCACAACACGGGGGUGGCGACUGUUUACUAAAAACACAGGACUCUGCGAAAUUGAAAGAUGAUGUAUAGGGUCUGACGCCUGCCCGGUGCUGGAAACUUCAGGGAAAAGGUGCGUAUACUUUUAGUAUACAAGCUUUGAACUUCAGGUCCAGUGAACGGCGGCCGUAACUCUGACGGUCCUAAGGUAGCGAAAUUCCUUGUCGAAUAAUUGUCGACCCGCAUGAAUGGCGUCACGACUGCCCCACUGUCUCCAACGUAGACUCAGUGAAAUUGAAUUCUCCGUGCAGAUGCGGAGUACUCGAAAAAAGACGGUAAGACCCUAGCACCUUUAC
RNAcentral lists this ribosomal RNA (1973 nucleotides) under invertebrate metagenome. Its description in RNAcentral is "bacterial LSU rRNA". It matches the Rfam family "Bacterial large subunit ribosomal RNA", at positions 212 to 2104 of the family's 2925-position model. The record is from RNAcentral.